UAAAAACAAAUAGAAACACACAUAAAAUAGCUUCACAAUUUCCUCAAGACACAAAUACAAUAAAAUUCACAUCAUUUUACAAACCAUGAGAGAGUUCCAAGGAUCGUCUACUUUAUAUGUCAGCUUUUGCAGCGUAAUUUAGUGAUCUCUCACAAAAAUCAUUAUCUUGGUGAGUUUCCAUAAUACGGGGAAUGUUCCUUAUGCUUCAAACUCAAGACUUUCACCUCUUCCUUAUGAACCUGUAGAGUUAUAUGGUGCUCCGAUUGAUAUUCCUCUUAAUUCGGCUGCGAAAAAUGGAAUUGCUUACUAAUUCACACACCCACUAAAUAAGAUAAAUAAAGUUAUUAGUAACUAUCCAUUAAGACAUUAAAAAAAUGGGGUAGCUAUUCAAGAAUAAAAUUAUAUACAAUAGAUAUAAUUUUGUAUAUGAUUGUCAGAGAAACAAUGCCUAACACAUUGAGGCUCUUGAUUAAGCUUCAAAGAUAAAGAUUAAAGACAAAGAUAGCAAAUUAAAGAGUUUGAAAUGCUUUGCUAUGUAGUUAUUGGUUAUCCAACUAAAAGAGAAAGGUAAACUUCUCUUUUCAUUGUGUUAUUUUAGCAAAUAUGUGAUACACACAACUUCUAAAUAAUAUGAAAUCAAACUUGGUAACCUACAAUUAACAAAUAAAAUUUUUAAUUAGAUAACUUUGUAUUAAUCAAACACACUAUGCCAAAAAAAGCUUUUGAAGCCAGUAACUCGUUGAUCAAUCAUUGGUCACUAUCCCUCAUCUUACUCUGUUUCAUUAAAAUCUUUGAAGUUUAUGAGGUGCCAUUAAGCUUCUUCAGUUCAAUCAAAAAUUCAUUAUUAUUCAAUUCAAUCAAAAAUUCAUUAGGCAACAUACAAUUCAAACUAUUCAUGAAAGUAAUUAUUAAUUAAAAAAUAAUAACUACCUUUUAUCAUACUCCAUUCAUUCUAACUAUAAAAUCAAUUACCUUUGGAAUGAGGUAAUAUAAAAGCAUCUAAAUCGUCAUCAAAUACAGUCUCUUUAUCAAGCUGACACAUCACAUUCUUUUGUUGAGAACUACCUACAAAGCUCAAUAAAACCAAAACCAUUAACAAAAACUUUUUGUGAGAAUCCAUCCAACUCUUUUGUUGUAACUGCCCACAAAAUUUCAACCUUUAAAAUAUUUCAUGAGCAUUUAUAAAAUAUAUUUGAUGCAACAUAUUGCAAAUGUAAAGUAUACAUAUAACUAUUGUGAUCAAACAUAUGGAAUGUAAAAAAUAAAAUGAGUCAAAUACAAAAAUACAUAAGAUAUGAGUCAAAUAAAAUACAGAAGAUAUGAGACUACCAAAUAUAAAUAGCAAAACCCUUGAUCAAUUUAAGCCAAUUUUGUUCAAUCUCGCUGAAUUAAUUACCGAGUUGGUCUAACCUUGUGUAUUUAGCACAAUAAAUAUAUAUAUUACAAACACCUACUCAAGAACAAAACUGAAGCCCAAGUAAAAUCAAAUGAAUGGUUAAAACCAUAAUGAAAGCUGUGACACUGUUGACUUUGACUUUUUUCUCCUAGCAAGUUGACAAAAAUCUGAUUUGACAUUGUGUUAGUAAGUUUGGAUGGAAACUUUGAAAGUGAGGCAAAGUGACCUUUCAAUUACUGAGGAAGAGAAAUUUGAAAGAGGGGGGUGAUAAUAGCUUUUGUUCAUGAGUUAAGGAGAGAAAGUGGGGGUUAUUUUCCACCCAUUUCUCUCAUGUUGAAAGAGAAACCAACAAAUAAGAGUUUUGGGAAUAAAACAAUUAACAUCCUCCAAAAUACUUUAUUUUCCACCCUUUUUAAAAAGCACAAAUACUUUGUGAGAUCAUAGAUGAACUUAUAGAACCUCAGAAGAUACAAAAAGGCCAUAAACAGAAGACAAUUAUAGAGCACAACUCCUUUUAUAAUUGCAAUAGAAUGCUUAAUAUAUCAAAUAAAAUAAAUAGUAAAAGCUCUAUCUUAGAAGGUCAAAUAACAUGACCAAGUUUCUAAAUGUUGUCAAAUUUGAGAAAAAAUACAUCAGAUUACUCCUAGUAAGAUUCUGGAUAUACUUACAAUUUGCCGACUCCUCAUCCUCAUCGCACCAUUUGUUCCAAUCAACCUCAAGGUAUGGAGCAAUAAAUCAUUCAAUACAUUCAGAACAGAUAAUCCAAAUAUGAGAACAGACCGAUUGUAAACCAAAUUUCAUUCAAUUGUUAUGUUCUUUAUGGAUUAAACAAUCGUUCAACAAAGGAAUUGCUUCAAAAAACUAAAUACAUACUUAACAAACAACAAAUAAUUUUAACAAAGUAAUCACCACAUCAACCAGAAUGAAUUCAUACGUGAUAACUCGAUCAAAUAAUCGAAGAGAUCUGAGAAAAUAACUUGAGAUCACCAAAUAACUACUGUUCAAUUACAAAAUAGUCCCAUCAUCAGCCAAACUUGAAGGAAUUCAUAAAAUACUACUGAAAACAAUCAGACAGAUGGGAAACAGUUUCAAAUCAUCAAAAUUGCUAGGGUUUCAGUACAUGUGGAUCAAUAACAUUCAACAUUGAUCAAAUCCACAAUUAUAUAAACGCAUAAGCACCACAUAAAUCGUAAAAGUGAAGAAAACAAAAGAAUGAUGAUCAUAUAUAUAC
This 2627-nucleotide long non-coding RNA is filed under the name Panax ginseng (ginseng). RNAcentral describes it as "long non-coding RNA (PGIN_LNC018216)". The record is from RNAcentral. Lineage: Eukaryota; Viridiplantae; Streptophyta; Magnoliopsida; Apiales; Araliaceae.